Molecule: non-coding RNA, 98 nt
Organism: Chelonoidis abingdonii (Abingdon island giant tortoise)
Lineage: Eukaryota; Metazoa; Chordata; Testudines; Testudinidae
Source: RefSeq, a predicted model, not a curated record
CACCUCUCCAGGAGUGUAGAGAUAUGUUUGUAGAAGAUUAUAAUUUAGAAAUGCUUCCUCAUAAGGUACAGUAUUAUGAGCAUAGGAAGUUGGAGAUA